GACGAACGCUGGCGGCGUGCUUAACACAUGCAAGUCGAACGGACAGGCCCUGCUUUUGUGGGGUGCUCGAUUGGCGAACGGGUGAGUAACACGUGAGUAACCUGCCCUUGACUUUGGGAUAACUUCAGGAAACUGGGGCUCAUACCGGAUAGGAUCUCCUGCUGCAUGGUGUGGGUUGGAAAGUUUCGGCGGUUGGGGAUGGACUCGAGGCUUAUCAGCUUGUUGGUGUGGUAGUGGCUUACCAAGGCUUUGACGGGUAGCCGGCCUGAGAGGGUGACCGGCCACAUUGGGACUGAGAGACGGACCAGACUCCUACGGGAGGCAGCAGUGGGGAAUAUUGCACAAUGGGCGGAAGCCUGAUGCAGCAACGCCGCGUGCGGGAUGACGGCCUUCGGGUUGUAAACCGCUUUCGCCUGUGACGAAGCGUGAGUGACGGUAAUGGGUAAAGAAGCACCGGCUAACUACGUG
Molecule: ribosomal RNA, 468 nt
Filed under: uncultured bacterium
Lineage: Bacteria
Description: partial 16S ribosomal RNA
Rfam family: Bacterial small subunit ribosomal RNA
Source: RNAcentral